Molecule: ribosomal RNA, 131 nt
Filed under: Ovis aries (sheep)
Lineage: Eukaryota; Metazoa; Chordata; Mammalia; Artiodactyla; Bovidae
Source: RNAcentral
GUCUACGGCCAUACCACCCUGAACGCACCCAAUCUCAUCUGAGAACGCACCCGAUCUCAGAAGCUAAGCAAGGUCAGGCCUGGUUAGUACUUGGAUGGGAAUUUCACCUUAAUUAAAAAGUGGUGUAUGGA